AUGCUAUGUGUCUUUCUCUUUCUUGUUUUUCAUGCAGUCUUCCAUCGUCUUCCUCUAUUCCGACCCCAGGUGUGGCUUCAUGUGCUGGAACAUCGCUCCUGUCUGGAAGUGCUCCUGCACGUUGGUGAGGACUCCCUUCCGGCCCUCGGCUGGCCUUCAUCACCUCACACCUGGAUGACCGCAACAGCUGGCCUGCCUUGGGCUAGCCUUUCUCUGCUCCAGCCUCUCCAGCUGCCAGGACCCAUCUUCUGCAAAUACCUUUGGCAUCACAUCACUUCCCUGCUCAGACCUAUUAGAUCCUAGCUCCAUUCAUCUGGCUGGGAGCCAGCCAAUUGGCCUCCCAUUCUUCCUCUUCCCUCCUUUCAAGUUCACUCCCAUCCAGCCAGCCUCAUAGGUUGCUUUAAAUCUUCUGUUAGCCCCUCUGCUAGUUUGGGUGGUCUCCUUUCCACCUCCUCCCGCCCUCCCUCCAGAAUACUUCUGGUGACUUUGGGGGAGUCAUGCAAACUGUCGAGCUUCUCCAGCCUCUUUCUCAAUGCAUUUGCCUCCCCUGCCCGCAUCGCGGCUCCACCAUUCACCUGCUAGAGGCCUUCAGGCAAGUUGCUUCACCUCUCGGUGCCUCAGUGUUCUCAUUUUUUUCAUCCAUAAAAUGGGGAUCUUAAUGGUACAUCCUCAUCAGUUCGUGGAGAAGAUUAAAAGAGGUGAUAGUGGAGUUCCCAUUGUGGCGCAGUGGAAACAUAUCUGACUAGUCUCCAUGAGGACGCAGGUUCGAUUCCCUGGCCUCGCUCAGUGGGCUAAGGAUCUGGCAUUGCUGUGAGCUGUGGUGUAGGUCACAGACGCGACUCGGAUCCCCCGUUACUGUGGCUGUGACGUAGGCCGGUGGCUACAGCUCCAAUUUGACCCCUCACCUGGGAACUUCCAUAUGCUGCAGGUGUGGCCCUGAAAAGACAAAAAAAAAAAAAAAAAAGGAGAUAGCUGUAAAAGGACCUAGAACAAUAUUCGGCACAAAGUAACUGCCAUGGACACAUCAGCUAUUAUUACUUUUUUUUUUGUCUUUUGUCUUUUUAGGGCUGCACCCAUGGCAUAUGGAAGUUCCCAGGCUAGGGGUCUAAUCGGAGCUGUAGCCUACACUAGAGUCACAGCAACGCCAGAUCUGAGCCGAGUCUGUGACCUACACCAGAGCUCACCACCACGCCGGAUCCUUAACCCACUGAGCGAGCCCAGGGAUCGGACCCGCAACCUCAUGGUUCCUAGUUGGAUUCAUUAACCACUGAGCCACAAUGGGUACUCCAGCUAUUAUUACUUA
Molecule: long non-coding RNA, 1303 nt
Filed under: Sus scrofa (pig)
Lineage: Eukaryota; Metazoa; Chordata; Mammalia; Artiodactyla; Suidae
Description: lncRNA (ENSSSCG00040016281.1)
Source: RNAcentral